Molecule: long non-coding RNA, 6758 nt
Filed under: Olea europaea subsp. europaea
Lineage: Eukaryota; Viridiplantae; Streptophyta; Magnoliopsida; Lamiales; Oleaceae
Source: RNAcentral
ACAAUAAACAAAUAUAAGAAAAACAGGUGCAAAUAGAUUAUAGAUAAACUUGGCAAAGUACUGCAUUCACUGUGCCAUAAUUUUUUAGCAAUCUGCAAUUACAUUUCUCAACUUACAUCGUGCCUAAUAGUUACUCGAUGAUGCAAGAAAGACAUUCCCGCAUAUCCUAGACUCAAAAGCAUUUGGUGUUUUGGCAGUUUUGCAUAUCUUUUGGCAACACAAGUUUUAAUAAAUAGCAGUCUGAAUGAGACAACUAUUUAAGAUCAUCUAUGAAUCAUUUAUCAAUUUCAUCAAUGAAAAAGCAAUAGUUCGACCCAACCAACACCUAGAGGGGGGGGGUGAAUAGGUGUUUAUGCGGAAUUAAAACAAUUAAUUAACUGAUGCAACAAGUCACAUCAAUUAUACAUUGCCUAGAUUCAUUCACAUACUUUAUCUACCUAAGUUGAAUUACCGGUUGAAAAAUAAAUAACAUAAAGCAGUAAAAACACAACAAAAUGUUGACGGAGAAAACCCAUCUGGGUAAAAACUCCGGGCACAAGCCAGUAGAGAUCCACUAUAGAAGAUAUUGACUUACAGUACGUCAGACAUUAUUGAUUCUAACAAUAUUCUGACCUCCUUACUGUAUCGACCACAGCUAUCCUGAAUUUUGCAGAUCUGCGCCAAAAUCCCAACUUUGAAUAUCUUCUACCUCCUGUGAAUCACCAAGCUCUCCAGUUCUUCAAGCAAUUUCCUUCCCGGAUCUUCAAACAGACGAUCUUCUGGAAGUUUAUAUGGAGAUAUGAAAGGGUGUUUUGGUUUUGUGAGGGUUGAUGUUUUUAUUCAAAGAAUCAUGAGAAUCAAAGAUGAAUUUAUUGUUGGUUCUUGAUCCUUUGGAAGUUGAGAGGAAUUGUUGUUUUAAUGUUUGCCAAAGGUCACAUUAGAAAAUCGGACGUUUUGUUUAUAUAGUAGGUCGAAUUUGGUAAUAUAGGGCGUUAAAAAUUCGCGAGGCAUUAAAAUUACCAAAGGCCAGAUAACAUGGUCGCUCGAGCGAGGUCCUGGCGAAACUCGAGCGACGUACCUUCGCUCAGGCGAUAGACCAGCGAAACUCCAGCGAGGUCAGUUCUGCAAUUUUGGCUCUAGCAAGGUCAAGGCGAAACUCCAGCGACAUCAACCCGCCGUUUGCAUCUUCAAAGCAUCCCACUUUACCCUAGACCUAUGCUAUGACCUUUACUAAAUUGCAACUUUAGUCCCUGAACUAUUUGACAUGUACAAUUUGGUCCUUGACUUUACAAUUUUGACAAAUAGGUCCUUUGGUCACAGAUUGCCAAUUACACAUUUUCCAAACAAACUCCCCUUUGGCAUUCUGUGACAAAAAUACAUAUGACAGUCAAGGACAAAAAAUAAACAUAACUCCAAACAACCUAUCUAUUCAACUAAAGUAGCAAUCUCUUGUUGAACCUGUUUCCUGAAAAUCACGAACUCAAAUACCAAGUGUAAAAGCAUAUGAAAUGGAAACAUUAAACAAGAAAUCGAUCAUAUGUCAUUAACCAGAUUAAGAAGCAAUAAUAAUGUAAGUCAAAAACACCAAAAACAUACAUUAAUAUUGCCAAAACAUCAAGAAACUUAAUCUAGUCAUGAAGUAUAACACAAUUACCAAAAAAUUUAAGAUCUAUCGAUCUAUCUAUCUAUCUAAAUGUCUACUCCCCCUUUUUGUCACAAAGGACAAAGGUCAAAACAAUGAACUAACGAACUACGAUGCAGCACCACCAGCAUCUGAAGACUCAGCUCCGCUCUCAGCAUCCGUGUCGUCCUCCAUACUAUCACGAAUCCAAUGCAAAUGACGCUGACAUACUGCAAGAGCACGACGAAAAGAAGAAAGCUCAGCUGACUGACGCUCCGACGCGGCCCGUAACUGCGUGAUCUCUGCCAUCAUACAAGCCUGCUGCUCGACCAAAGUAGACAUCUGUCCCAUAAGCGUCAUCAUGGGGUCCACGGGCAAAGCAGCCACCCCAAGAGCAGAAGUAGAAGUAGAGGUCGAAGGAAAGGCAGAAGUAAGUGGAGUGGUCGAAGGAAAAGCCGUACGAGGAGAGAGAAACACACGGGAACCCCUUGUAAGAAUCUCAGUAAUAGGAUCAAAGGGCUCCGAAAAAUCAAAAACAUCAACGACUGCUGCCUGACCCGUAGCAUGAGAAGAAGAGGAAGAUGACUAUACAUGGGAUCGACUCUGAUGAAUGGUCUGCUGUCCUAUCGGACGGCCUAUGCGACAAGUCGAACCCUCUGGAAAGGAAGCACCCAACGACAAAGCAACCCUAUGAAUCAAGCAAGCAUAAGGCAACCCGAUCUGACUCCCAGGAGUACGAAAUGAAGCCAGAAUAUUCUGGCACACAAAACUAGGAAAGUCGAUCGAGUCCCCAUGAAGAAGAGCAUAAAGAAAACGGGUUCGGACCAAAGGUAAUGAAGAGGUAUGGGCAACCGGCCACAGGUUUGUACACACUAUGCGCAACAACACCUGACGAUCAGUAGGUAAAGACCCCGUGGCCAUCGCCGAAGGCCCCCCGAUAGACGGGGUGUUCAAAAUCGUCGACCGAACAAGAGAAUCGGCCGGAAUAGAAGCAGGUAAAAUAUAGGGAUAAGUCGGAUGGGUAAUAUGAGGUAUACCUAAAGCAUGAGCUAUAGCCGACGGAGUAACCCUAAAAGAAUGACCUCUAAGAGUAACCCGAAAAGACGAGCCGUCGAUAUCAUGAAUGUUAGCAUAGAAUUCCUGAACGAGGAGUGGGGGAGGAGGUGAAAAAUCAACAAGAAGGGGCUCCCAACCCCGAGAAACAAAAAUGGCGGCGAUAUCAACAGGAAGGUCAGAGAGGAUUACCUCACACUCCAUGAGAACGGGGCGUAAGGAGAACUGAGAAGUGAAGACCUCCUGAGCUGUAGCAGAAAUGAAUUAGGAACGACUAUACGACGUCGAACCACUAGCUGGCUGCACAGAAGGUCGAGAACGCUUACGGGCCAUCUGACACAUGGAGAGAUGAAACUCAAUUAGUAAGAUGAAGAAUGCACGGGGUACGAUGCAAUAUGAAAUGAAACACUGCACACACAAAUGAGGCACGAAAGAGAUGCAUCGAAAAACGUGAACGACCUUAAGAUCAAACCAAGCAUGAUGGAAAUAUUCACCAAAAAUAUGUGUAAAAACACUCAAAAAGUCACGUGACGAAAAUGAAACAAAGGUGGAAUGAAGAGGAGAAAAAAAAUGAAACACACAAACGAAGGAAAAGAAAAAAAGCAAAACAUAACAGGGGACUUUCAUCGAACACAUGAUGGACGUCACUUCGGCACACAAUUCCAAGCACAUACGAAACCCAAGCAUGCAUCCAAGCAUAGUCCCACAAACUAGAAUGCAAGGGCUUUAAAAGGAAACAAACCACACAGCAAACGGAGUAACGGAAUGCAAGAACGGACAACAUGAAUGAAGAACACACAAUGUAAUGUAAAAUAUGAUGCCAAAAUCGAAGGAUAACAAGAAUAACACACAAGAAAUGCAUGAAUAUCAUAACAAGGGAAGAAGAAAUAAUCAAAAUACACAAACACAAUAGGGAAGAAGAAAAAAAAGAAAAAAAAGAAAAAAAAUAAUACCUCAAACCGAUGUGCAAAUUUUGAAAUCCGGAAGCCAAUAUGUGUUAGGGGCUUCGAAAUUUUGUCAGAAACAAGUGUGAAGUAUGAAGUUUGAAGGAGUUGCAGCAAUUAGUGAAGAAAUGAGAGAAAAUGGAGAAGAAUUGCGCGAAAAAUGAAACCGGUGACUUUUAAAAAUGCACGGUCGCUCGAGCGAGAUGUGGGCGAAACUCGAACGAAAAGCAUUCUGCAUUUGUCGCUCGAGCGAAGUGUGGGCGAUACUCAAGUGAAGUUCAAAUGUCAGAAAUAGCACUAAAAUUUUGAAUAUGGAGAAAAAGAGCACAAUUAUCAAGAAAUGACGAAAUUAGCCUCAAAUCGUGUAUUUUCAAAAGUAAGACAAGAACAGAGCAUUGGAAACACGAAGCAUGGGACCAAUUACAUUUUACUAUACCAACAGAAAGCAUAAAAUCACAACCUCCACACUCAGUACAUAGACAAAUCGUAAGUCCACACAUAGUUCAAAAUCCCGUGGAGUAAAGUGUAUAUAGAAUAUCAUCGUGAAAAGUGUCACGUAGUCCAUGCAAGUGAGAUUCAAAAACCUUAAAUUAGUGAGAAAGGACACGUAAAAACAACCAGACAGAGGUGUAUGUCUACCAAGUGACAGUCAAAUCCAAUUCCACGAGGACCUAUAUCAAAUAUUGCGAUUGUCACAAUUUUAUUCUCCCUAACUGUAUGAUUCCAUAAUAUUUUUUUUUGAAACAAAAGAACCUAAGUGCAAUGCUAUCCCCAUUAGUUGACAUAAAUGACUCCGGUAACGAACUUUGGGCCAGUGACUCCCAAGUCAGAUGACCAUAGGUCACCAGGUUAGAAACCCCUCAGGCUUAAUUGUUCGAGUCAAAUAGGCCCCGAAAACAGUCAGAAGUUCAGCAAAAGAAAAGUGGGGAAAGACAAUAUGAUUAGGUGACACUAGUCCCAGAUCAAGUCAAAUGGACACAUAACCCGAAUCAUAGAAGAACACCAUCCCAAGUCUCACCCAUGCGGUCAAGACUCACUCACAGGACUACAGUGUGUGCUGUACAAAAAUGAAUGACGAGCCAUAUACCCAGAACUCCACAGGCAAAGAGAACGAUAAUGGAAUCUCAGACUUGUACAUAUGAUGAAAAAUAGAGUCUGAUCUUUAAUGCAAAAGCCAUUAUCUUCACAUAAAAGGCGCACACACACAAAAUCCCAUUUUAUUUUUAUGGUUUAUUAUGAUGAUUUUUUUUUUAUUUUCAUAUUUAAACACACAAAAGAAGACUAAAUGACAAACUAACAAUCAAAAAUGCGUCACACACACACAAAUCACAUGCAAGAUAUGAAGUGACUAGGUGCAUAUGUGAUGAAUGCAUGAAUAUGCAUGAAUCCAAGAUCAGAUAGGUGAGCAAACACCAACAGCCGUCCGAAGCGACUCAAACCUCAAUCCAUCUAGUGGUUUCCUAAGUAGAUCUGCCAAUUGAUUAUCAGUAGAGACAUGGUCGAGAGAGACUACAUGUGAUUCAACAAGCUCACGAAUAAAAUGAUGUCGGAUGUUAACAUGUUUUGUUCGAGAGUGUUGAAUGGGAUUCUUAGAAAUAUUUAUAGCACUUGUAUUAUCACAGAAAAUAGUCAUGGUUCCUUGAUUAAUCCAAUAAUCACUCAGCAUCUGCUUCAUCCAGAGAAGCUGAGUGCAGCAACUACCUGCAGCUAUGUAUUCGACCUCUGCCGUGGAUAGAGAUAUAGAAUUCUGUUUCUUACUCAACCAGGCUACGAGAUUGCUACCCAUGUAAAAACAACCCCCUCUCGUGCUUUUCCUAUCAUCCGCGUUUUCGGCCCAAUCGGCGUCGGAGUAACCAGCCAAGUCAAGAUUAGAAUUCCUAGAAUAGAAUAUUCCUAGAUCAACUGUUCCACUCACAUAUCUAAUGAUGCGUCUAACAGAGCUUAAGUGUGAUUCUUUUGGAUUUGCCUGAUAUCGAGCACACAUUCCAACACUAAAAGCAAUGUCAGGUCUAGUAGCUGUGAGAUAAAGAAGACUACCUAUCAUGCUUCUAUAUAGGGAAGGAUCGACACUCUUACCUGAAGCAUCACGACUUAACUUCAAACUAGUACUCAUAGGUGUCCUAGUAUGUUUCUUACUAUCCAGCCCAAAGCGCUUAACUAGAUCCUUAGCAUACUUAGAUUGUGAAAUGAACAGUCCAUCCUCUAUCUGUCUCACUUGAAGUCCAAAGAAAUAACUUAACUCCCCAACCAUACUCAUUUCAAAUUCUUGCUUCAAACACUAAGCAAACUCAUGAGCUAAAGACUCAAGAGGAGAACCAAAAAUAAUAUCAUCGACAUAAAUCUGAGCAAUGGUGAUAGUUUCUUCAACAUGUUUAAUAAAUAAAGUCCUAUCUGCACCACCUGGAGAGAAUCCAUGCUCUUCAAGGUAUGAUGUAAGUCUCUCAUACCAAGCUCUAGGAGCUUGCUUCAGACCAUAGAGGGCUUUGUGAAGUUUGUAGACAUAGUGGGGAAACUUAGGAUCAACAAAUCCUUUUGGUUGUUCCACAUAGACUUCUUCUUGAAGAAGUCCAUUCAAGAAAGCACUCUUAACAUCCAUUUGAUGCAACUUGAACCCUAGGGUACAUGCAACAGCAAGCAGAAUUCGAAUAGACUCAAGUCGUGCAACAGGGGCAAAAGUCUCAUCAAAAUCAAUUCCUUCAACUUAAGUAUAACCCUGAGCAACUAGUCUAGCCUUAUUCCUAGUUAUAGUACCUUGGUCAUCUGUCUUGUUCUUAAAGAUCCACUUAGUACCUAUAACAUUACAAUUCUCAGGUCUGGGAACUAAGAUCCACACAUUGUUCCUCGCAAAUUGAUUGAGCUCCUCAUGCAUCGCAUUCACCCAACACUCAUCACUAAGAGCCUCUUCAACUUUCUUAGGUUCUACCUGAGAGACAUAGCUAGUGUAUGCUAUAUUGUUCAGUACUCUCCUACGAAGCCUCAUACCUUCAUCUAGAUCCCCAAUGAUAUUGUCCUUAGGAUGAUUAGACUUAACCCUAGUCGAUGGUUCCUUAGGAUCUUUAUCUCGAUCUUGUGGAAGUGUUUUCUUUUCAGGUGUUUCAGGUUUCCUAAGAGAUGAUUCAGACACAGGUGGCUCAGUAGGAUCACUAGAACUUAUAAGAUCA